Molecule: long non-coding RNA, 2851 nt
Organism: Pezoporus occidentalis (night parrot)
Lineage: Eukaryota; Metazoa; Chordata; Aves; Psittaciformes; Psittacidae
Exons: 3
Source: RefSeq, a predicted model, not a curated record
CUUCCAACUCUAACAAAUUCCCGGGGAAAUUUGUCCAGCUGUUCAUAUGCCAGUCUCCCAUCUUCACCUGGAUGCAAAAUGUUAACGCAUAAUAAUGUAUUAUGUCAUUGCCCUACAACAUUUAAAAUACUGGAUUCUCUGCUGUUAGGAAGUACUGUUCAGACACUAACUUCUUCCCCUUAAAAUUCCUCUUGCUGAAGGCAACUUCAGAAAUUAAAUGGAAAAGUUAAGCAUGCUCUGAAUAUUCAAAUUAUUUUAUUUUCACAUGUAAUUUCCUGGUUUUAUCUACAGCAAAGCAGACGUAGAGAUGUGACUUGUAUGAUUAGAUGACAGUAUCUGUACCCUUGGCUUACUAAAUGACCUGUGGUACUUGUCAAGAUCUCAGUUGCAGCUGUGAUAUACUUGAGGGAGAUGAUGUUUAUCUACUUCUACUUUGGACAGUAUAAAGCUUACCCAAUUCUCACUUCCUAACACUUUAAAUAAGUGAGUCUAGCCACUUCUUCACUUUUACCACUGAAAACCAAGAAGCAGUCUAUUUGCUAAAUUUAACUAUUUGUGUCUCUCAAACCCUUUUCUCUUAGGCACUGUCAUCUCUGUGUACCUCAAGAUAGAAUUGAGCCUAGUGUGCUGAGCUGGCCAUUAGGAACCAAAAUGCUCUCUCUGUUUUGUCUACAGAUCUCCCAGAGAUUUCAGAAGUGUCCCUGCGCUAGUUGUUUUAUAAAGUGAGCACUGACACGUCCAACAGCAGAGUGAAUUCCUGCUGAACUGUAGUUGGUACCUGUUUCUGCAAGUCCUGGACACUCCUCAUUCACAGUGGUGGCAAAAUUGGUAUCCAGCUGCUUCAUCAUCUUGUCUGCAGAUGUGUGAUACACUCCUGAAGGGCCAGUACACUUCAUCCAGAAAGCCAGCAAUGAUAGCUUCUUGUGGAACUCUGGAAUUGCUGGAGGAGAAGGCAAUAUGAACAAUGAAACAAAGCAAUGCUAGAAGCAUCAACUUCCAGAAGAGAAAAGAUGCAGGAUGUGAGAAAACUUGCUCCUGAUCCAGCUCUGGGCAUUCACGUCUCUUCCUUUUAAAUACCACAAAACACUAGGGAAAUACCACAAAUGUUCUGCACAAGACUGGUCCCUUCCUAGCACUGCUUUGUGGCCUUGGGUAAGUCACUCAACCUUGCCUCAAUUUUCUGAUAAACAAAGUAAAUACACCAUGUUGUGUUUAUGUAUCAUGGCAGAAUGCUCACAAGGGUAACUAUGUGCUUGUCAAAUACUUCCAAGGUAUUAAAAUAGAUGCAUCAACAGGAAAAAUAACUAAAUAAUUCUCCAUAAAGAUGGCAAAAUAAAAUUGAUAAAAUGUUCAAGAAGUUGUAUUAUGCCUCUCAUAGUUAUAAGGCAGAUCCUGUCUUCCCUUGGGAAAGAGGAAAGAGAGGUGGAGGAAGAAUUUGGCUCUUCAGAGGUGGCAGCAUCCCCACUCUAUCACAGUGGUGGUGGACCUCUGUCCGUAUUCUACACAAGCAGGAUAAGAAGUCCUUUCUCUUCUCAGUUGCUUGGUUUUGGAUACCAGAGCUGAAGAUGGUAUAAGGUCCCUGACCUGCUGUGGCGACUGCUACAUCUGCUGGUAAGUCAUGAGUUGGCCCUUAUUACGGUGACAUCUCCUCCAGUGAUGGUGAGCUCUGCACAGCGCUCAUUUCAGCAGGCAUGCAUGCCCAAACAAACCAUUUUCAGAAGGACACCCCCUAAAUUGUCUCUUACCAUCAGUAAGGGAGGUGAUGUUUCCCAAGUUCUCACUGCUGAUCUCCGCGAUAUUCUCCAUCACGAGGAUCUGCCUGGACAGCUUAUCCAGGAGGUCUCUUGCCACAAAAGGUGUUUUACUGGAGAACACAAUUUGCUGGUGGAGACAAAUGGGGAGAGAGGAGAAGGAGUCAACCUCAGAAGAAAAAACAACUGGCAACUGAAGUGCAAUAGCAAGUUUACUGCCCUGGAACCAUGGCGUCUCCUUAACUUUGAACGUUAUUUUUCUCUGGGAUAUUGUAUGGUCAUGGCUGAUAUGCAUUCUUGCUUAUAUCUCGUAUAACACCUACAUCCAGACCCAGACACUUGAUUAUCCAGGCAGCCAUUUGCAUAUGUAAUUUCUGAUUUACGCACUCUGCAAAGCUAAAGGAAUCUAUCAUCAUAAGCCUUAAAGCCAGAACAGAAUAUUAAUCUGACUUUCACAUAAUAUAUGCUGUGGACUUACCUGCCUGGGGGCACACCAAUGGUUGCUCUUUCUCCACUCCAUUUCAGCUCUGAUGAACUACUCGGGUGCCUUUAUUAAUUUGGUGCUUUCUCCCUGCUGCUGACAUCUUCACGUCAUUGUUCAGCAGUCCACAUAAAUAUUGUUCAUGUCCAAUCUGCUCCAUGUGUGGACAAUAGCUUGAGCUCACCUCCCCUAGCUGAAUAUGUACUGUGUACUCUUGUAUUUAAACCAAAACCCUCCCUUUUUCUCAUACUUGUGAGUCAGCAGUGUCCAGCUCAGCACUAAAGGUAAUGGAAUUUGGCUUGCUCUCUAUUGCUUCAGUGGGCCUCUGGGAAAAUAAAGCUAAUUAUAUCUACGCUGGAAGAGCCAAAUAAUCACAAAGGGGAAGUUGCAGUAUGUUUUGAUUCCCAGGGAAACCCUGAAGCCCUUGCUUGCUGGAGGUUUAAAAUCACAUUUCCUGUGCUCAGGUUCCGAAAAAAGAACGGCUCUAAAACGUUGUGCUAGUUAGCUGUGAGCAUGAACAGACAAUUUUGAUGUCUGCCAUGUGUCAGGGGGUUGUCAUGUGCUGCCUUCACUGCGUCUGUUGCAGACAGUCCACCUCACUUGCACAAAUUCAUUUCUG